ACAACAAUGCUAGCCAAACUACCAAACCUAAACAAAACAAAUUACAUUUAGUCAAACUAAAACAUUCACCUCUACCCCAGUAUAGGCGAUAGAAAAGAAACAUUAACGCAAUAGACCAAGUACCGCAAGGGAAAGCUGAAAAAGAAAUUAAAAAAUCCACAAAAGUAAUAAAAAGCAGGGACUAACCCCCGUACCUUUUGCAUCAUGAUUUAACAAGUCUAACCAGGCAAAAAGACUUUUAGUCUGGCCUCCCGAAACUAGACGAGCUAUUUUCAAGCAGCCUAUUAGAGGGCACACCCGUCUCUGUAGCAAAAGAGUGGGAAGACUUUAAAAUAGUGGUGACAUGCCUACCAAGCCUAGUGAUAGCUGGUUGCUCAAUAAACGAGUCUAAGCUCCACUGUAAUUCUUACUAAUAUAGCACCACAUGAAAUUUAAAUCUAACAGUCACUCAUAAGAGGUACAGCUCUUAUGAGACAGGAUACAACCUAAGACAAUAGGUAAUGAUUAUAAUACACAAGGAAGCCACCCCAGUCGGCCUAACAGCAGCCAUCUACUUUAAACGCGUCACAGCAUAAACACAAACUCACCCAAUAAACCCUAAUCACCAAUCAGACCCUAUAAAACUAAAUGAGCCACACUAUAAAUUUAUAGUCCCAUUAAUGUUAAAACUAGUAAUAGGAAAACACGACUUUCUCUAGGCACCUGUAUAAAUCAGACCAGAUAAACUACUGAUAAUUACCGACAUAUUUAGCCAGACUAAUGAUAAACAAGAAUUCUGCCUAAUACACCCGUUAAUCCUACACCGGAAUGCCAACAGAAGACCAUAAGACAAAGAAGGAACUAGGCAAACCAGAGCCUCGCCUGUUUACCAAAAACAUCGCCUCUAGCCAAUUCACAAGUAUUAGAGGUACUGCCUGCCCAGUGACUCAUUCAACGGCCACGGUAUUUUGACCGUGCAAAGGUAGCAUAAUCACUUGUUUUUUAAAUAAAGACCUGUAUGAAAGGCAAGACGAAAGCUCAACUGUCUCCUCUGUCUAGUCUACGAAACUGAUCUCCCUGUAAAAAAGCAGGGAUAUAACCGCAAGACGAGAAGACCCUAUGGAGCUUAAGAUAAAAGGACAAUUUUAAUAUUAAAUUAUGUUCUAAUACCUUUAGUUGGGGCGACUACGGAGCACACAAACCCUCCGCGAACUAUGUACUAAGCAAAACAAACCAAUGUACUAAAACAUCUACUACAAUUGACCCAGUAUCCACUGAUCAACGGACCAAGUUACCCUAGGGAUAACAGCGCAAUCUUCUCUUAGAGUCCAUAUCACCGAGAAGGCUUACGACCUCGAUGUUGGAUCAGGAUACCCAGACAAUGCAACCGUUGUCAUUGGUUUGUUUGUUCAACAAUUAAAAUCCUACGUGAUCUGAGUUCAGACCGGAGCAAUCCAGGUCAGUUUCUACCUGCAUAUUAAUUUUUCCUAGUACGAAAGGACCGGAAAAAUAAGGCCAAUACAUCAUGCACGCCCUCAUAAAAAUUAUGAAUACAACUAAAUUUAUACUACAACACUAUACCCAAGACAAGGGCACAA
RNAcentral lists this ribosomal RNA (1577 nucleotides) under Oscaecilia ochrocephala. RNAcentral describes it as "16S ribosomal RNA". It matches the Rfam family "Bacterial large subunit ribosomal RNA". Lineage: Eukaryota; Metazoa; Chordata; Amphibia; Gymnophiona; Caeciliidae. The record is from RNAcentral.